Molecule: long non-coding RNA, 26258 nt
Filed under: Solanum tuberosum (potato)
Lineage: Eukaryota; Viridiplantae; Streptophyta; Magnoliopsida; Solanales; Solanaceae
Description: long non-coding RNA (STUB_LNC006469)
Source: RNAcentral
UCGGGGCUGUAUACCCUACCAAAAAAAACCUCAAUUAUCCUCCUGUAACUCAAUACUAACAUUAUAAAUUAAUAAUUAAGAAUAUACAUACAGACUUACUAGUUACAACAACAAUAAAAUUUAGAGAGGAUAUUCAAAUCUCAUCCCCUGGAGCAAAAUCCUACUCUGUUGAUCUCACAAAGGGCAGUAACAUCAGUUGUAGGGAACAACAAAUGUAAAAGAGGGACUGAAGAGGAUGUGUUAAUUGCCUUGAUUUUGUCCAAAGCUCUUUUAACUUGGAAUGGUGAGGGCACAUUGUACCAUUGUACAUACCAAGAAAGAAGAGUUGAGGCCCUUCUUCCAUAAUCUUCAGUUGGCCAUCUUCCAUAUUUCAUGUACUCAGAAAAAUCCUUCUGAAAUUCCAGAGAUGAACUAAGAAUCUCCUCCACACGCUUCUGGACUGAACCAAGAAAAGUUGAUUGUACGAUGCCCUCCUUUGAACUUGUUGAUCUUUUACUUAGCAAACUAUUAUUGUAGGCCAGCGCUAUCUGUAUGCGAAGAAUUGAAUACAAUAAUCCAUUAAAGAUGGAUAUCAGGCACAGUAAUUACAGGUAAUAUGCAGCUUAGCAUGAAAGGCAUAGUGAGUAAUUAUUGCUCACCAUCAGUGCUAAAGCAUAUGUGCAAUCAGGAAAUCAGUACAAGGUCAAGAUCAACAAGCAUUCAUUUUUAAGGAUGUUUUCAAAUAGAUUUGUGAUCUAACAGUCUGGUGUUUGUUCUUUGAAGGAGUAACUAUCACCAGAUAAUUAGGCAAUAUAUUGAUUGACCGAGGUUUGCUAAGGGUACGAUCUAUAUAUGCCACAGUAAAAUCUUCUCUGAUUGACUUGUGUCAGAUAAGUUCUACAGUAUUUCACAAGGAUGAAAUGAUAAACUUGAAGAAUGUAUUAGGUCUUUACAGUGUUGGAAACAUUAAUGGUCAUGAACAAGGAUAGGAUCUCAACUUGCCACAAUAGAUCCGUCUUUUGUACCUUUCUAUGUUAGAUAAGUUAUAUUUCAUAAAGAGGAAAUAAUAAAGUUAAAGAUGGUAUUAGGGAUUUAUUUUUUAUUUUAUUUUUGGAUGACCAUGGUGUCCGGGCCAGCAUCCGCGCACCUCGACUAAUUCUGUUGAAUACUUGUCACCUCCCACCAACAACAGGUACCAAGUAACUCUAUCCACCAAGGCUAAGACAGAUGGGAAGAAUCACCUAGUGUUUUUGUCUACGCUGUGAUUCGAGCCUGAGACUUCAUGGCUCGCAACCACUUCAUUGACCACUAGGCCACACCCUUGGGUGCAAUGGUAUCACGGCUUUAUGAUGUUAAAAAUGUUAAUCAUGCAUAAAUGGUUAUCAAGUUUUGGAACCAAAUCUAAGCCCACAUACUCUACAACUCCCAAAUAUAUGAACUUCACGCAACACAUAACUUGUCCUCCUAAUCUAUACAAUAGCAUACAAUUCCACACGUAACACCUGCACAGAAAUCUCAACGAUCUACCAUUAUAAUACUUUUAUGUGCUUAGCAAAUAGAAAAAGAAUUGGCUCAUACAACAAGUUGAAUGUAAAUAAAGUUAAAGAAAUCUCUCUGAUACUGAUCAUAUUAAAUAUUCAAUAAACCAUAGUUAGCUCCCCUCCAGUUCAACAAUAUCAGAUACAUUAACCUCUACUUUAAAAAUUACAGUGACCUCCCUAGUUGAUUUAUGUUGUGGAGAGUGGUGACUUCUCAAUUCUCAUCACUUGUUUCAAAGAGCAUUUGGAUGGUCUACAACAGACGUGUAUACAAAGAAAGCAUGCACCAAUGCACUACACAGAUAACAAAUUUCGAGUCUAAAACAAAACCACAAUCAAGUAAGGAGAAGAAACCCACACACUAAGCCCACACACUUAAUUUUGAAUGAUCUAAACUCGAAAAAAUAUGAAGAUAGCAAGCCCACACACUAAGCAGGUAGUUCAAAAGGAACUUUGAAUCUGAAACAAAAUCACUUUUUAAAAAUUCAUAGAUUAUGCCAACAAGUCAGGUACAAAGCAAAAAGAUACCUUCAGACUUGAGAUGAAGAGUGUAUCCUGUAAAUUGCUGGAACUACUAGUAACCCGAUCAACCAUGGAACCAAUAGUUGUGUAUAAUGACAGGUAAACCUGCAGAUUUUCCAAAUGUUAAAUGACUACCUCCAAAUACUAAGACAAGCUACUUUUUUGAUGAAGAAUACUAACACAAGCUACUUAACAAGGAGAAGAAGUAACACAACCUUCAUAGGAAGCAACUAUAAAGACCCGUAAGUUUUAAAUGUCAAUUACGACUAAUCACGACCCUAACAGCUUGAUUAAGGUAUCCCCAAGGUGUAAACUGUAACGACCCUCAUGGCUGUUUUGUGUUUUCAGUUGGUUUCCCCUAUUUUGACCAUUCCUGUAAGCUGGCUUCUCGAUGUUAUUCGUGACUUGCAGGAAUGGGUGACACGAUUCCUGAGGUGAUCGGAUGAGUUUCGGAGAAGAUUUUUAGUUUGAAAGUUUGGUUUUUGGAAAGUUAAACCAAAAUCUAUGUAUCAGGUUGACUAGGUCAAAUUCGAAUUUUGACAGUUCUGUUGGAUCUGAAAGGUGCUUUUGACUUCGUAGAUUGGAUUACGCGGUUUUCGAGGCAUUCAGGAACAUUUUAGAACCUUGGCUUGAAAUUGAGCUUUUCAUAUACCUAGAAUUGACCAUAAUCAACAUCUGAUCAAGACGGGGUGAUGUCAUUGCUUGAAAUUUGGUCUUAGCUUUUGGUUUGAUUAAAUAAAUGAUAGGUAUUUGUCUCGAAUUUCUCCAUCAAUUUUGGUCGAAGUACCCAAAAUUUAUUGACCAAAUAAGGUACGGAUCCCACACCAACGUCGUGUUGACACGGGUGAAGCACCGAAAGUGAAGAGUCUGAACAACUUAGCACAAGCCAGGCAUCUCCCUACAUCUUAGCUUUUGGUCAGCCCCAAUACUCUAGUUGUGGCCAGUGUUUCAUGAGAUGAGGCCGAUGAGCUUUAUGUUAUAGUUCCAAAUUUAUUAAGCUUUACAUGUCGUGAUGCAUGCAUUGCUAUGAAAAGGGUAAUAUGUCCAGAUGGUUUUCUCCAUGGAAAGUUUAAGGCAGCAUCAGGUGUCAAUCACCCACGCAGCUUGAAUUGGGGUGUAACAACUACUUCAAUAUUCAGUAUAUAACAUUCUUUCUGAAAAGGAUAGAACAAAUGUUCAAAGUAAGUUCUUCCAUGGUAACUACACAACUGCAUGGCUCAAAGACGUAGCAUUUACUGUCCAUCAUUUAAGAAUCUUUUUUAUGAAUUAUCAAGGUAAAAAACAUUUGCAUGAUGAAUCAUCACCUGCAAUAGGGCUGGCCUGUCCUUGCUUACACACUCGAAUAACACUUGUAAGCAAAAUUCUUGGAAGUCAAUGUCAGAUCUGCAAACGUGCAAUACAGGCUUUACUAUCAACUCAUCAUUACAAUCAGAAGACAAGGAUUUCAGCAGGACAAUAAAACACAUCUUGGAGGCUAGUCUUUCAUUAUUUGUCAAGCAAGUUUGAAAGGACUCCACAUAAUAUUUCUACAUUCACAUCAUCAAAAACUAAUCUUCCACACAAUCUUGCUAUAUCAUUCAGUUAGUAACUUGCAAAUGAAUUAGUAAGUACAUGUAAAUAGUCCCUGCUUUGCAAAUGAAUUAGUAAGUAGAUGUUAACGCUCGGGGCGUAUGUUUUUGCACUAGGGACUUGUGUUUUCCCCCCGGAGCUUACGCCCCAAAUUCUAGUGCAUACACCCUAUGGAUCUACACCUUUAAUUUCCGCCCAGGAGCAUUUUUGGUACGCCCCACCCCGAGACUAGCCCCAUAAACGUCUUUGAAAACACUGGUUGGUUUUGGUUCUAAUAUAUGAAAAAUCAACUUAAUUGGUUUGGUUUUCUUUUAGGAGAAAAUCGACUCAAACCGACCCAUGAACACCCUUAGUUAGAAGAUUAAGAAGCAUUUUUUACAGUAUUCAUGAUGUAAAGAAGGACCCAUAGUUCUGUCCUACGUCCAGCCUCCAAAAGUUAGCCUUUUCGCUCUUAUCCUGCUCUAUAACAGUUAAAAAAUACAAGCCAGCAAAGCUAGUUUAGACUACAUAUCCAGCUGCAACACUUGAACAGCCAGGCUGGAUCAGGAUUAAUAACUGUUCAUGGGAAUGAGACAGAAGAACAAUUUCUUCAAUCACAGGUUUCUAGGGUGAUUUAUUUUGUAACCAAGUCACCUUGGAAAAAUUCAUUUCCCCCCUACUUGAAUUUUAUGUAGCUUUCUUGGUUUAUUAAACAUUACAUUCUGUUAUUAGAUUCAGAUCGAUUUUUAAUUCAUGCUUAAUGAUAUUUAUUCAUUUUUUUUGUGUGAUCCAUCUGUAUGCCGAGGUAACACAAAAGUGUCAGAAUUAGGAGCUAAGAAAAAGGAAAUAAAGAACACAACGAGUACACACUGAGUCAGGAAAAUAACCGCUAGAAUAUUGACUUGAGAAUCAGCAAUGAAUAUAUGGGCACUUGCCUGCUAUUCCAGUUAGGGUCACAGCAGAGCUGGGCAAACGAAAUUAAGCUUGGGUUCGACGAGAAAGUACUGAUCAACUGAUCUACCAUGUCACCAUCUUGACAAUCUCUACUUGCUGCUGAAGCUCUCAGACGUGUCAAGCCAAACACCUACAUAAAAGCAAACAUAAUUUGAUGUAACAAUUAGACAGGACAAAGAAGAGUUGAAUUUUUGUAAGUGAGAACUAACCUUGUGCAUUGCUCGUGACAGCAGUGACUGACACCCUGCAGGAUCAUCCACAUAGGAACAUGCUCCAACCUUUCUCUUGACAUAGAGGAUACCAGAACUAAGCGCAUCACCCUUGUCCCCUGAGCUCCAUGGUUUUUCUGUAAAAGAGUUGCAGAUAAUAUUGAACAAAAUAAGUUUUUAGCCUCGAUGUCCAACUAGAUGAAGUGAAAACCAAUGUCAACUUUACCCUCAGGAAUGUGAUUGAUGACUUGAGACCAGUAUCGAGGGCCGCAGACACGAACAGCCUUCAACUAUAAUGCCAAAAGGGAAAAAAUUGGCUUGACCUAAUGUUUCAUGUGUUCAAUAAUCUUAAAAUUACUGCAUAAUUUUCUUGUACAGAAGACCAGAACUUACAACAGCACGUUCUGGAAGAAUGCACGGGGUAACCUCAUAAAAACUCGUUUCUGCAUAGUGUUCUGUCUCUCGAACAGUAACUUCUAAUGGACAAUAGACAGGUAAACCACUGUCCACAUCAACUGUCUGAACCCAGCGAGCUUCUGUUGCAAGAACAUACAAAUGCCGAAAAGCCUGUAUGAUGCAAAUUUAAAUUACAAAAGUAUUUGCUGAUAAAUCACCAGAAAUGGAAUGGAAGGAAGCAAAUACAAAUUAUAAUGAUUAUAUGAGAUGUUUACAUAGAAUAUUAACCAAAAUCGAAGACAUCUUAAGAGAUCAAAGAAAGAUUAAUAGAGUUGCAAAGAGGUAUUCCACAAAAGGGGAAAAGGAAAUAGUCAAUAAUCGGACAAUUUGAAACAGGGAAACCAAUAUGUUGUGUUAGAAUAUGAAUAGGUUUAUACAAUCCUAUUAGAAUAGGAAUAGGUUUAUACAAUCCCAUUAGAAUAGGAAUAGGAAUAGAAAUAGAAAUAGGAAUACUAAAUAGUAUCCUACUUGGUAAAGGAUUGUAUUCUAGGGUCUAUAAAUAGGGUCUCAAUGUAAUAAUGUAGACACAACAACAAUUCAAUAAUAUUCUUUUCCUAUAUUUCUCACAUGUUGAAUAAUUUCAAUCUCUGUAUAACUAGUAUCAAUCAAAUCCAGAAAGGUGAGUUUCGAGAUAAGUGAACUACAAAUCAGCGCCGAUCCACUCAAUACUAUGUUCAGGUAUUGCCAGUAUCUAGUUGGUCCAUGGGAUUUUUCGUAUCUGAACUCAACACCUCUCAAAAGGCUUUAGUCACAUCACACAUGUCUUAGAGGGUAGGUACAUAUACCCUCUCCUUUGCAUCACAUGAUAGCUGGAUAUGUCAAACAAGAAAGAACUCUUUCCACAGAAGGUGCAUUCAUAUGCACUCUUCAGAACAAUGUUCACAUAGCCUAGUAACUCAUUUGUCCCCUUGAAUAAGUCCUUUUUAUUUAAGGUGAUAUUCUCAGGUGCUUGUCAAAAAGAGGAAUUAUCAGUUUGCCUUUCUUUUUCCCCUCAUUUAAAUAGCUCUGGUGGGGUCAAUGAUUGUCUCUCUCAUUUAAACGGUUCAUCCUCUAUAAAAUUUACAACACUCCUAAUAGGUACUCCUACAGUUGGCAGAUCUACAGAAAUCUCAUAAGAAAAGUUGUCUAGCAAGUGUCAACUACUGGACUACUUCCACUGUUAAGUGACGCCCAGUAUUCCUAGUAUCUACUCAGUAACCAUAAUCCCCCUAAAAGUCCAUACAGAAAAAAAGUAAAAGGAGAGUGACUUUGAAAUCCUUGAGAAUUCAUCUUCUUCCCAUAAUUUCCAUUCAAUCGUUCAAAACCCAGACGCAGAGCAACUAAGAAGGUCCUAAAUGUUUAAAAACCAAGGGCACAAGGUCAUCACAAUUCGAGAUCGGAGAACUAUUGUUGCCCAUCCGCUCUCUUUGCUUUAUGAGAAUGAAAUUAAAGAAAAUUAAAACAUAAACUCUACAGUAUUCUUUUGGAUCAACAUCAGGUCUUUCACUUUCUUUCAUUAUACUUGAUUCAUGUUUGUGGCAAGGAAUAAAUAUUAAUUUUACUCUAAUUCUUCUUCUCGAAAUUUGAACUGAUCUUUUCAGAACUUUCAGGCGUGCGGCUCUCCAGUGAGGUCCGAGGCAUGCCUAGGCAUAUGCCAGACAUGUUAGAGCAUCCGUCCUAUGGAACUGCGCCUCCCACAUGCACGCAAGGGAGAUUUUCCAUCACCUUGCCUCAGAACGCGCUCCGAAACGUACCUCCCCAACGCCUUUAAAAACACUGCUACAAACUGAGGUCAUAUUUUCCUCUAUUAAAGUAUUUCACUUCUGCAUUCAUUUACCUGAAGGUGGCACCGAUUGUCAUUAGGUCCAGUCGGCAAUCGCGGAUAUAGUGUUAUUAGUAAAGCAGCAAUAGAACUUUUGCUAGUCGAGAAAGUCUGCUUUCCACCCCCAAUAAACAAGAAACCAAUGGCUAAGCUUACCUGGAACAGUUUUCAGAACACUGCAUGAGAAAGAUGGUCAUAGAAGAAACUAAAAGUUGAAUCCACAAUAUCUUCUGCAUCUUAAUGAAAACAAUUUGAACGAACAAGUGCAUACAGCAGAUUCACCAAUGUCCUAUCAUCAGAUGCUUGCAAAUCUAUAAUGAAAAUGUCCAAGCAAUUAUUUAUUCUUGUUGAAAGAAAAUGGUUAUGGUUAGAGCUGUCAAUACGGGUUGAUGGUCCUUAAAACAGCUAGCCCAACCAUCUCUAUGUGUGCUUCAGGCCGGGCGGGGUCAGCGGUUCACAUUUUAAAUGAUUUUUUAAAUUUAGAUUCAAAUCUAGAAAUGCUUAACAUGAAUAUUUAUCAGACAAAAUUACAUGAUGUUGCUAUCCAAGUCUCAAACUAAAAUUAAAUAUCCUAAUAAUACUUAUUAAGUAUGAAUUAUCAAAUAUUUUCAAUUGUUAGUAAUGUCCAUUACAUAUGAAAUUUUUGUAUUGGAUUGUUGGUUCAAUACAAUUUUAGUUGUAUAUGAUGUCUCUUAUUGUGAUAUAGGUCUCAGUAGAAGUUUGAUGAUUUAUCUUUCUCAAAAAGAAGUUUGAUGAUUUAUAAUGGCUUCAAGUAAACAUCUGAUUGUAGCUUCAGAUAUGAAAUAUAAUAUAAUUUUGUAUUUGCAUUUUACUACUUUGAUCAUUAGACUUUACAAUAUGAUUAUAUGGUGGGUUAUAUAAACUUUGAGUUUGACUCAUUUCUUGUGAUUGUUAGUACUCUACUUCAUUUUUAUUUAUCUAUUUUAAAUUAAAUAUUUUUUAUUUGGCCCAUGGGCGGGUCCAACCCAAACCUCGCUCAAGCCUCAUGGGCAGACGGACUUACUUGGGCUCGGCUAAAAAGCCUCAUUCUUACAUGGACUACAAAUUUGUAGCCAAUCCUAUCAAAUCACGGGCUGGUUUGGGCCAACUCAGCUGGCAAACCCAUACUGACAGCUCUAUUUAUGGUAUUUUUCCUUUUCUUUUCAAGGAAAAUUUGAUGAGUAAUCCACAUUAUUUUGUUGGUGGAUCACAAACAUUUCUCUGAUCUACAGUGGAACUUAGUUAGCAACCAGUGGAAUAAACAGGUGAUUCAAGAACUCGUUGUAAAAUGACAAUUCACUUACAGCCAUCUGAUUACCGAAGCUCAAGUGCCCAUCUGCUGAAUUUCGACCACGCAAAUAUUUUAACAACUUGAAUGUUUGUAGGUGUCCAGACCCUGCCAUGACCUGCACAAGUAGAAUUUCUGAAUGAAGCCUAACCAUAAAUUUAAACAAUUUGUACUUGUGCAGAUAUAUACUAACCACACAUAGAGAGAGAACAAUUAGGUGAAGACAUGUCUCCAGUGAGCCACGAUCAAUAUAUCUAGACAGUCCUUUUGGAAAUGCCACACUUGAGACAGAUACAGGUUUUAUCUGCAGGAUUAGAGGUAAAUUGUUACAGCAUUAUAAAUAUGAAUCGGCACAAUAAGGUGAAGAACAGACCUCAUUAAGGAAGUAUAGUGCAUAUUUGUAGAGCAGCUCUUGUAAAUUGCCAUCCCUACUACCAGCAUAUCUUAACCCUGCCAAAAUUAUAGCUUGCAAGUCAAGAAUAACAAGAAAUACAACAUCCAACAGAUCUGAUGUUCAAUAGCUCCAACCCCACCGUCCCAUGUAGUUCACUAAACGAACAAAGGGACAUUAUUUAGUUUCAUAGUACAAAGUAUUUCAGGUACGCAACACUUAACAUAUCUUCUUUUACUUUCAAUUUCCAUUAGCUGUCAAAGCUUCUAUAGUUGGUAUGUAUUGAAACACUAUUGUAUUGAAAAGGAGCUUUUGACCAUAUCCACCAACUUCUGAAAGAUCCAUGCUACUAUAGAAGUUAUAUUCUCCAACUUUCAAGAAUAUUCAUAUCUCUGCCUGCUUUAGUUCAUAGAGUAUAAGGGGUCGUUUGGUAGAGUGUAUUGGAGAAAAUAAUGCUUGCAUUAGCUUGAUGUAUUAUUAGUACCUUGUUUGGUACACUUUUCUAACCUAUGCAUAACUAAUGCUUGUAUUAGAAAUACACUCUAUUGUGUAUUGAAGAGUGUAUUACUAAUACCAUCUAUUUCUAUACAUUAGUAAUGCAAUGGGUUCUAAUGCAUGCAUUAACAUUAUUAAAGACACAAUUGCCCUCAAAAACUUUUUUACAUCCUUUCCAAUAUAUUUGCUGAGGGUAUUUUUGUAGACAAAUAUUUUUUCUAAAAAAACUAUGUAAUGCAUAAUAUUUUUAGUACACCAAACCAAACAUUGCAUAAAAAAAUCUUAUCAUAACUAAUGCAAGCAUAACUAAUACAAGCGUUACUAAUGCAAGCAUUACUAAUACACUAUAUUUUGCAUUAUUCUUAUACACUCUACCAAACGACUCCUAAGAGUUAAAUUGUUUAAACUCUAGUGCAGAUGUUAAGCUGGAGGUCCAUUUCUUGACACAAUUCAAAUUGGGACCGAGCUAUUUUCCACUCAUCACUUAGUAACAUUAUUUUUGAUAUCUCUAAAACCUGAUCUGCCCUCCCAAAUCAAACUCAAUGCAACCUUCCUUAGCAGUGAUUUAUAUGAACUGGUAGAAGACAGUAUUGAAUCCAUCGUUGGUACUGCAUUUGAAUUCUCAAAUUCUACUGAUUCCAUUGUUGGUAAUACAUUUAAAUUCACAAUUCAAAACCAUUUAAAGCAUAUUGUUAUGUAUAUAAGUUAGGGAAACUGUUGGUUAUCAAAAUUUCAUGUCUGGCAUAAAAUGGAAGAUAGUAUUACAUAGCAACUUAACUAGAAGCUAGAGUCAACAGACAAGAGGCGAUAGCUGUCUUUUAGAACUUAGGCUUACCAAGAGAAAUGCAGGCUCCAACCACUAUGUGAACAUACGCCUGAACAAAUGCAUCAGCAUUUAUCUCAUCUGUGUCACUCAUGGUAUCACCAAGGCUUUUAACACCAUUUUGAAUAACCUCCGGAAUUUGAGAUUGAAUCCAUUCUUCAGAUGCAUGAACUCUAGAAGAAAUUAAACCAUAGUUAGACCUGAGAAGCAACUUAUAAAUGUUAUUGAUGAUUGGAAAGUGUUGGGAGCAUGUUUUACCUGCUCCACAUUAUCAUAUUCCGAGCAAUGACACGGAGCAUUAUAAAAUCAGGUCGAACAUAGUGUAAAUCAAAAUGUGUCUGCGGGACAGAUAACCUAGAAUAGACCAACUCUGACUCUGUCUGCAAUGGAUCAAGAGCAAAAUUAAUGAUUAGAAGUAAGUUGUAUGGGAGGUUAUCUCUAAGGAAAAAGUAAUAUUAUGUCUAAAAUUACCUUCAAAAACAUAAGAGCAAGGGCAAUGGUGGCUCCAGGUGCAGUAACAUCAACAUUGACUGCAGUACCGUCCAUUAUCUGCAAGAGAAAUGGUACAGUUUCGGAUGAUUGGUACCUAUCUCUAAGUCAGAUAAGAAUAGCAGUAAUAUAAUAUCUGUAGCGACAAGACGACCUGACCUGCCCUGCACUCCGAUUGAGUUCAUCAAUAGAUGGAACAAAAAGAUGGGACCUCUCCUGAAUUUAUUCAAAGAAAAUGAGAACAUCACUUUAGUCAAAAACCAUAAGUUUGGAAUCAUAUUGCAUAAAACAGGAGACAAAUUCUGCAAGCAUAUACGUUUUGAGGCUCCUUGCCGCCAAUGUACAGGAAUAACCGAUCAACCAAAGAGUCCACAAAGCCAGGAGCAUCUUCUCCACGACCUUUAGUUUUUUAAAAAAAAAAAACUUAGAAACAGAUAUUAGCCAUAAUAAUGCAUGUGCACUUUCAAUCAUACCCAAGGCAACCAAUCCUAGUGAAAACCCAGCUGCAACUGCAUAUCCCUCCCUUUCAAGUACAUUAUCUCCUCCACUUCUACGGCCUAUUUCACCCUGCAAACUGGUUAUCAGUAAUUGAAUUCAUGAAAAGCAUGCAUAAAACUUGGAUCAACACUAACUUACAAUUUUGGUCAAAGUUCAAACACUAAAUCAUCGCUUCUUGCAUGCAAGCAAGAUCAGUAUGGAGUAUGUACUAGUGCUAGCAAAUGGACGGGUCAGAUCAGUUAUGGACAGGUUGAGAACGAGUUAGACAAAAAAAUGUAUAAAGCAUCCGACACACCCAUAUUCAGUAGGAGUCAAAUUUGGGGUGAAUGGGCGGAUAAUAUGGGUACUUCUAUCGAUGGUUUUACAAGAUCAAAAUUCUGAGUGCCUCUCUUUCAAAAACAAAUGAUGAAUAUAAAAAUAUUUGAGCGUUAUAACAUGGAUAAUUUUUCCAGAAGCAAUAAACUAGGAUUUACAACUAUUUUCUCAGUCCAAUGAAACAAAAUCAACUUAUUAAAGUUAAAUCAUGAACUUUUGGAUUGAUCUCAGAAAUUGAAAUGUUGAUAUUUUCUUUUAAAAAUAAAAACCAUAUGCUUAGAAGCUAUUAAAAGAUCUUAGAAUGCACUUCUAAAUUUUUAAAAAAUGGUUUUCUUCAGUCAGACCUAUCUGUUUCUCUGUCAUUCCUUCUGGUUCUUCAUGUAACCAUUUCUCAGCUCCCUUACACUUUAGAAAAGUAAAAAAAGACUAAAGAGGAAAGAACACAUGGAGGCAGCAUCUACAAGGGUGUAUAGUGGGUUCUAUGGAUAAUAAAAUGCAGCUCACUCUCGCGGCUUGCGGUAUCUCUCAGAGUCUUCUUCACAUCUUUAGUCCUCGUGAUCCGUAUUUGAUCAGCCAGUACUCAAUUUUAUAAAGCGGGUAAUAUGAUUGAUCCAUAUUUGAUCCGCUCUUUAAAAUAUCAGUUAACCAACCCGUUUUAACUGGUCAGAUCGGAUGGAGACUCUAAUAUCUUAUCCAUUUUGCUAGCACUAGUAUGGACUAUCUAUAAUCACUUAGGGAUAAUUUGGUAGGAUAUAUUAGAGAAAAUAAGACAUGCAUUACUCAUGGUAUUAUUUAACCCUUAGUUUGGUAGAACGUUUAGCCUAUUAGUUAUACACCCUAUUCACUAUUAUAGGGUGUAUAACUAAGCAAAUCAUGGUAUCAACUAUACAAGGAUUACCAAUAUAUGGAUAAGCAUGGUUAAAUUCAAAACUGCCCUUAAUACACCAAACUAAACAGUGGAUAAGAAAGUCUCAGUAUAACUUAUCUCAUUAUUACUAAUACAUCCUACUCAAUAGUAUUCUUAUUCACUCUACCAAAUGACCCCUUAAUCAUUUCACUUCAAUGCCAGCACAAUUAAGUAAAUACAAACAAAUCUGCUAUUUCCCUGCACCAACUCCCAGAGGAACAAAUUUAUUUUAGAUGAAUUGUCCCACUACUCCAGUUAGCUUUCAAUAGCCACCGCUCCUAACUAUGAAUAAGAGAAUGACAAAAGUUAAAUAUAUUCGAGCAAGGGGAACACUUCUACACAUCCUGACAUAUCGAAAGCAACUACCCAAUAAUACAUAGUGACUACUCAACACUUGAUCAACAGAUGAUCCAAGAGAACUUCAGAAGAGUAUAAACCUCCAAGAUUUAGAGAGAGUACCAGAAGAAUUUGCAUUGUUUGGGGAUGUGCAGAUCCCUCAUAUAGAAGCCCAACAGAAAGGAGAGCUGCUGACUGAAAAAUAAUCCAAUAGCAAGAACAAUCAUUUUUCAAGACAAAGAUACUUCAUUAAAGAGGCAGGUUAUUUACCAAAAGAAACAGUAAAGCAAACAUCACUCUAACCCAAGUACAUGGAGGAGGGAAACAGAGACCUUCAAUUCUUCUAAAGGACAAAUAGUUGGAAAGAAAUAUAAGAAUAGAAACAUAUCAGCGUAAAUACCAUGGAAGAUUUAAACAUAUCUUCAGCCCCUGAUUUGCUAGCAAAGCAUGUUGCUAUUGCAAGAAGAUUUGAGGGGUCAAAGAGGAGAGUAUUCUUGACGAAAAUGAAACAAUUAAGCGGUAAGGAUCAGUGCAGCACUUCGUCAAACAAGUCUAGUAUUGAUUAGAUUGAUUAUAGGAAAUCUUUAUUCUAAUUAAUUUGUUGUAAUUACUGUAAUUGAUUUCUUUUAGUAGAUUAGUUAUAGGACAUUUUGUAUAAAUACCCUUGCUCAUGGGAUGUAAACAAAUAUUGAAAUAGAAAUAAAUCUUUUCUUUCUCAAAUUCUACACCUAUACUGAAUUCUUAAUAGAACAGAAGAAAAUAACCAAUAUGAACUGAUAAACCCACAGAGAAUACCAAUUUUCUACGAGAAUUUAACCAUUUACUGAUUGACAAUGUAUACUGCAAUUACCUGCAACAGGGUUGGCAAUUCCAAUUCCGGGAAGGAAGACGGAUGACGGGAUGGUAUAUGAACAUAGAGGGACUGCACGGAGAUCACAAUAAAUUCUUGAUUCAUUAGAAGGAACAGGAGAAAAGCACAUCUAAUGACAAAUCAAUAAGCUACAACUAGAACAGAUUACUAAGUCAAUAAUGCAGAUAAUGCACCCAACAAGAAAGGGACGUUUGAAUACUAGAGCAGAUUGUUAAGUAGAUAAUAUCAUUCAGUAACUGACAAGGGCAGAUUUGGAGUGCUCAAACUGAAAAAUGUGUUGAGAUACAAGAAUCAAAGCUACACUAAGUCACUAACUCAGUUUAGCAACUACAAUUCUGCAAUUUUAUAUCUGCAGAUAUUAUGAGGUACUGUACUCGUCAAAUUAUUAAGAGUCAUCCUCCUAUGCUUCCAAAAGUAAAACAAUCAGGCAGCAGACAGUUAUAUGCUGUGAAGAACAAGAAAUGAAGUGUAAGGAAGCUUGUCCAGAAUAUCUCAGAAAUAAUAAGAGAAAUAAUACGGCCAGGGUCAGAGCAAGCUGAAAGUUAAUAGGGGCUUUAAGAUCUGCUGAUAAAAUCAAGAACUUCAUGCAGUACUUCUGUUAACUUCAUUAGCAUAGGUACUUCCACGAGACUUUUAUCAGCUACAACCGUCUAUUUAUCCCCUCCCACCACAAACCAAACAAAAAAAGAUUUAAAAAACAGCAAUCAGACAUGCAUACCUAUGCUGACAAUUCCCAAAUAGUACUAUGGUGCAGUUUACAAGAACACUACAUUUAACUAUAUAAUAAGUGGGAGUCUUUUGGACGACCAAGGGUAAUAUCGUCUUUUUGGUCCAUUCAUCAAGCCCACGAUCACCACUGCUUCCACUUCAUUUUUCGUUGCAUCUUUGUUCAUUUACUCUGGAGUUCUAUGCUUCUUCAUUUCCUAUUAUUUAUCCGCCUCUCUGUACACUAGGUUUGUUUUUGCUUACUUCUGUAUUUCCCUACAUUGUUGCAUGGAGGAAAUUUCUUUACCUUAUAUUGAAUUAGGGGUGGGAGUUCGUUUCUUAAGUUUGAUUCUUUAGAACAUUGGUUCAGUUCUUCACUUGUGCAUACCAAACCCAAAUUAGUUUCUAUUUGGGGUAAAGUGAUUAAAUGAUAUUAGAAAAGCAUCAAGAAGAUGCAAAGUUACAAGGGAACAAAAGAAGCUGCUCCAAAUAGAAUUACAUGAAGCAUGCUUGGCAAAAGACCUGUAAAAGCAGCCAAAAGAAAUCCCUACAUCUCGAUUGUACUAGAGAUAGGGAACUAGCAAAAUCCAAAAAGUUAUCCACUGUUUACGGGGGCAAGAAAGUGCCAACUACAUAAACUAACUAAGCAUCUAGCCUUGAGAGUACAAAUAGAGGUUGAGAUUCCAUCACACAUCUGUUGUUUUUCUCCUUCCAGAAGCUCAGAAAAGUAACUAUUGGGAUCAUUCUCCAGAUCCUUUUAAUGGAUUUGUCAACUCUCCACAAUAUCCAUCUAGUAAAAGCAUCAUUGAUGUUAAAGGGAAUUACCUAUUGAAGGCCAAGCAUAGAGUAGAAAAAUGCCACAGGUUAGCUGCUGCAGGGCAAUGCAGAAAGAGGUAAUUUACACUUUGAGUAGUCUGCCUGCACAUGACACAUCUGUUGAUGAGGAUUACACCCUUUUCUUGAAAUUGUCUUGUGUUAGGCGUGCUUCUUUCAGGGCAGUCCAAGGGAUGGAAAAGACUUUGAGAGGUUGCCUUGUACUCCAGACAUGUUUCCAAGGCCAUACCUCCAGGAUACCAUUUUGAGAACUCCAGUAGUUGUAGCAUUCUUUCACAGUAUAGAUCCUUUCUUUGGAAUUGCCCCAAGGACUCUGUCUAGAGUCACAUCCAUCAAGGUACUUUGUCCCAAUGUUUUUUUCUUUUUUGAGAAGGCUUUGUCCCAAUGUUUCUAAGAGAGAAAGGAAGUUGUUAACUUCCCAAUCCUGUAAAUUCCUUCUGAAAGUUGGAGCCCAGCAGUUGUUGUCUCUAUAUUGAGCUAUUGUUGCUUCUUUGAUAGAGGCUAUCUAGGACAAUGAAGGGAAUGAGUCUUUUACAGAAGAUUCCCCAAGCCAUUUGUCGUGCCAAAAUCUAAUCUUGAGCCCAUUACCAGCCUUGAAGGAGACUUUCUGGAAGAAGUCAUCUUGGAAACUGCUGAUGUGUUUCCAAACCCAAACACCAUGAGGCUCACUACUUUUCUUUGGACACCUAUGAUCUUGAAUGUCAUAUUUAGCCUUGAUAAUGUCCCUUCAAUACCCUGCCUUGAUUUGUCCAUAUCUCCAUACCCACUUCAUAAUUAAAUUAUUGUUGUGAAGCUAGAGGUUCCUAAUUCACAGUCCCCCUAGGCCUUGGGUUGAAUAAUUGACUGACAUUUGACAAGAGAUAGUUGUGAGUGAGAUUGUUUCCCUCCCAUAGGAACCUCCUUUUGAGCCUAUCAAUUUGCUUUAAAAUUGAACUUGGCGCUGAAAAUAGAGACAUACAAGAUGUGGGAAUACUGUCUAAGACGCUAUUGAUGAGAGUAAGUCUGCCUCACAAAGAAAGAGAGGUAUUGCAUCUGCAGGUCCAGCAAAUGGAAUAUGCAUUUUUAAAUUACUUGCAGCUUGAAAUAACACCUCCAAGAGAUGAAAUUUUUCUAAGGCUAUUGCUAAAUCUUUUUCCAUUGCUCAGUAAUUCCUUCUAAUAAAUAUUUUAGACAUUGAUACUUAAAAAUAUAUCACAGUAAGUAUCAUCAUGCAGCUCAAUAACAUAAUGAAGUAGUUUUUUCACAACAAAAGUUUGCUCGUUAACUACUCUUCUUGUACAUAUUCUGUGUAAAACAAGAUAGCUAGUAACUAAAAAGUUGAAUACACAAAAAGUAAAAUUUAAAUCUAGAUAAACAGUGUAUUCGAAGUCACUGGCAAAAGCGUCAAAAUUGAUCAGGUCCACUCCUUUUUUUAAUUGUUUGUUGAAACUUGGGAAGGAGGCGAAUUUCAUUCAACACUAAAUUUAUGUAGUGGAAGGGAAAUGGCGACUUCGUACUAAUGUUACUGCCACAGUUCUGUCUGCUCUAAGUUUAUAAUUAAUCUCAUUGUAUGAGUGAUGGUCACUGUUAUAUUUUAGCUUCACAUUUCAUGUACAAAAUUUACAUCACUUAGAUUGUAGCUAUAAUUUUUUUGGGUUGAAUGUAGUUAUGUUAACUUGGAAAGAAGUUGAUGGAUACGUACUGGUUUCGCAGGCAUGCAAAGAAAUGACUACAGGAAGGCAGCCUCAUAGCUUCAGGAGAGAAUACCAGCCAAAUGAAUUUAGUUUGAGGUAUUAUGUUAUCCUACUUUUGAGCUCAAAAUUUAGUGUUCUACAAUGGAAGUAAUGUGUUACCUUUCAAGUGCCUUCCAUUUUGUCUUGAAACUUAUAGGGAUAAGUAAACUAAAAAGACAAAAUAUAAGCUUUUAGGAUUAGGAGUGUAUACAUUUGAAACUGUAAGACUUGCAAAAUUAUAGUAAAAAAAAUUGCAGUGGCUGGUUUGCUUCACAUGAUAAAUGAUGAAACAAACGAGAUCCUUUUACUACUUGAUAGGAGUGAAAAGAGACAGUGAUUCAUUGGCUGACCCAAUAAGCAGUUCAUUACUUUCUUUUAUGUGCACUCUCAUUUACUUUAUUUAUAAUUUAAAAUGCUGCUUAUGAAAAUUUGCACAAUGCAUUCAACCUUUAACAUUUAAGCAUUACACAUAUGAUAAAGGAUUAGUGAUUAAGGACCAUUUUUUGAUAAAUCAAAUAGUAAGAGGCAUGUUUUAUAAUAUCACGAUAUGGCAUUACAAGUAAUACAGUUAUUGAUACUAGAUUCCAGUUGUAAUAUAAAUAGAAGAGGUAUAAAAUGAUAUUAGAUGGUCAAAUUAGAAAUUGACUAAAAAGGGUAUGGAAUUAUCAAUCAAGUAGUAUACUGUGUCUUCUUCAUUUCAGGGAAAUGGAUUAAAUUGAACAAUAAAAUAGAUAGGACUAUUUUGAAAGAUACUGUGAGCUGAUUGUGCCUUUUUGUCUUGCACAUCUAAUUAAGCCUUUCUUCAGCUAAAGCAACAAGCAGAGGAUUGGAGAAAAUUGCAGUAUUUUCUUGUGCAAGUUAAUCUUCACGACAAUAGAUUCUGGUGUUUUACUCCUAAUUAAGCACACCUCAAAGUGAAAUAUGCUAAUCUGGGUUAAAAUUAAAAUAAGUACAUCAAACACCCGUGCAUAGCACUGGCACUCCCAUCUAGUAAUCAAAACAUGCAUAGGUCGCGAAGCGACUAGCUCCUAAUUAGAUGAACAGAGACCAGAAAGAGAAUAAGUACUCUUCGUUACAGCAGUUGAUAUGCACAGAAGGGGGAGAAAAGAAAGACAAGAAUGGAAUAGGCAAUGGAGAAAAUGAGAAGAUAUUCCUUACCUUUGAGAUUGCUGGCUGCAUAGUUCCCCUGUAUGAUGCUGCAAGGCCAAGCAUCAAUCCAACAGUUGUACUUUCAUGUUCCUACAAGGUAUGAUAUCACCGAAUGCACAAAAUAAGCAUGUCUCAUAGAUUAUAGUUUGUUAAAGUGCACUAUUUUACUAUAUAUGCUAACCCAAACUCUCAAACUUAUAGUUGUAAUACACUCGAUAAGGAUUUUGAAACCUGAGUAUAGUCGCUCAAACAAACAUGACACAGGGUUGAUGCCACAUCUUUCAUUUUACCAAGUGGACAACUUCAACUAUGUAUGCUGUAAUUAUCCUUCCGACCUUCACGAUCAUCCAAAUAAAUUCUACUUUGCAUAAUUGCAUAGCAUUUAAGCUUCAAUGCAAGUCGACAGUAUCUAACAAUUACUUUAGUAACUUUAGAAGCAUUAAUCUUUUACCCUUUUCUCCAUAGGGCGGGGAAAAUCAUAUUUUACUUGACAUAUGCAGUAUAAAUAGAAGAACGAUAAAUAAAUGUGUUGAAUCAGAAAAAGAAAAGGUUAUUGUAAUGUUAGUAAGGAGGGGAAAGCACUGCAUAAAACCAGAUCGGUCCGGAAAGAAAUAAACAACCUGAGAAUAAUAUUGAUAUAUAUCAGUUAUAGUUAAGACGCGAAGAUGUCCAUGUAAUCCUAAAGCAAGUAGUAGUCCAGCAUGAACUACACUGGGCUCUUCAGGUUUGUUAUAUAAUAUCCAUGUUCUUGACAUCUUUCCCUGCGUAAGCACAAGACAAUGCAUCAAAACGUGAGGAAGUAGCAUCAAGUAAGAAAAUGAAACUUAGAGAAGUAUCUAAAAAAACACUGGAUAAUAACAGUGGGAUAAAGCCACAUGCAAAUAGAUAAAACCGAACCUGAGGUGGAGCAAGCCUUAAUCCAGCAGCAACUGCAUUGUGAAACUCGGGCCAAGAUUUGAGUUCUUGAACAUUCCUAACAUUUGGAUCUAAGUUAACCUAAACAAGAACAAGAGGCAUGACUUACACAAAUAAACUUCACAAACACACAAUUGUUGCAAGGCAAUCAUAGGCCUGGGGAGACAGAAGUCCUACAAAAGAAAGGUAGACAACUAGUUCCCAGGUGUUCUCUUUGCAACAUAACAGGGGAAACCAAUAAGCAUCUAUUUUUACAUUGCAAGUUCACCACUCAGCUAUGGAACCUUUACCUCAACAUUACAAGCACUAGCUGGACAAUGCCAGAGCACACAUCGGAUCUUUUGAGUUGCUGGAUUAGGAGGGGAGUUAGUAAAAGUCAAAAGAGAUGGUGGAGAUUAAUACCAUCAUGUAUAUGGUGGUCAAUAUGGAAGGAAAAAAAUGAGAGAUGCUUUACAGAUAGGUCCAAUUCCAUACAUAAAGUAAAAUGGAAUUGUAUUGAAGCUCUACUUCUUUGGUGUAAACUACUUUGUAUAGAAGAUGUAGAUCAGAUUGUAGAUUUGAUAGGAAGCUUGUAAUUGCUCACUUUUGGAGGUGGCCAGCAUAACCUUAAUGCUGAUGAAUACAAUUUACCAAUUUCAAAAAAAAAAAUCAUAGGCCUUGGGAGAGGGGCAUAUGGGUGGUUAGGAUACUGCUCACAAGUGCCUAAAGAAAGCCAACAAAUAUAAUAAUGCUGAAGCCUGAAACGUGGGCAAUGCCAGAGAAAAGCGUACCACAUUAGUUUGGCAAAAAAACUACUGAACAUCAUAAAAAGGAACAACCUUCAAGGAUAAAAAGUAAACACCAAAAUCAUGUUUCCAUCUACAUUUAAUAAGUAAAACAUCAACCUGGCUCCAAUCAAUUAUCUGAAAACCAAACUGCUAAUAAAAGAAAUAUAUGCAUAGAUGGAAAUAGAUGUACACUGGAAUUUGUCCAGACAUACUGUUGCAUUUUGCUGUGCAGGCAGCCGACCUGCCAAGAUAAGCUUGGGAACCAUGAGUGCCUGCAGAUGUUAAAACAACUUCCUUAAAACACAAGGACUAACUUUUAUAUUGUCAAUUAGAAAAUAUGCUGAGCUAUUCCAUUUGUAGAAGUAAGUGAAGGAUGGUACCUCCGUUAAGAGAGUGCAGGUUGUAGCAAGUGUAAAUGCACCACGGCCAAAGGGAAGGGCCGUAGUCCUUUGAGCAAGCUGCCAUAAUUGAGCCUAAAGAAAAGAAAAAAAGAGAAUCAAUGUGACAGACAAACGCUUGCAGAUGUAUGUGAGGUGUAAAGGAUACGGUGAUGCACAUGGUCAUCAAUGUUACAGUAACAAUGUAAUAUUCAAGUAUUUUAUUUUAUCUUUCUACAUUUGUCUUUACUACAGGCAAGUCAGCUGCAGUUCAAACUUCAAAAUUUUUAUUUCCUCCUUAAGAUGCAUUUAGAGCAGCAAUAAAAAGUGAUAACUGGAAGAAAAAAAAUUAGGGUGCAGUGUUCAUGUUCUUUAAAAAUGUCACCAUCCCGAGGAGAGCAUUGCACCAAAAUGUGGCUUAGCAAUGCCUUUACUUGUUUGUCUGUUUUUUACCCAAAUUAGUUAGCUGGCUUUCCAACACCUACCAAAUCAAUGUGUGCCCUAAUAUAAAUUUUGUUCAAAGAACACAUAUAUAGUAUUAAAUCGGUAAUUUAACAAGUAAUGAACAGGGUAUGGAAAUGUAAGUUACAAGGUCAAGAGGUGAACAGUGGUUGAAAACCAACAAGAAGAUCAGAACACGAGGCACAUGUUGAGAAUUUUAAGGAAAAACAAUUAUCAUUACAUAGCAUUGGGGAAAACAGGUAGCGUUGUCUUUAGUUCUGGAAAUAACAUGUAGCACAUACCAAAUUAUUGCAACAGUAUACCUGUUGGAGGUCCUGAUCUGAUGCAGUCGGAUUAACAGGUGUUUGAAUAACAACAGGCCUAGCAGAGCAUAGAAGACGUCUAACCUAUAAAUCAAAAGCAUUGUUUAAUGAUAUUAAAGAAGAUAAACCAGCAACACAAGUGCAGCACUUGACUGUGCUAGGAACUUUGUGAUGAAUGCAUCGAUCAGGUAUGCUCAAGAAACAAAGUUAAUGGUCUAUUAAAUCAUUGACUGGACUGGAUCAUCAUGUACAUACUAUGGUUUUCACAACAGAACUGACAAGCUAGUGAUUAAUGAGGAGAUCAGUGUAGAUAAGGAAGAAAUCAAAGCAGAAAUUCUAAAGUUUUAUCAAGUAUGGUAUACAGAGGAUGAGCAGUGGAGGGCUAUAGCUAGCUUUGAAAAUCUUAAUAGCAUUACUCAAGCAGAGAAAAGCUGUCUGGAGAGAACUUUUGAAGAAGAGGUAAGCGCAGCCAUCAACUCUUGUGCACCAGACAAGAGUUCAGGAUAUGAUGGUUACACAAUGACCUUUUACUAAACUGCAUGGAAUUACAUCAAGGAUGACAUUGGAGCUCUCAACCAUUUCCACCAGCAAUGCCACAUGGUCAAGUCCAGCAAUGCUUCUUUGAUAGCCCUUAUUCCAGGGGACAAAUCCUAUUUGAAAUGGAUGGUGUGAGUUUGUCAAAUGCUCGACAAGCCGCUACAUUAGUUUGAUAAGGGGAAUAGAAUACCCCUCACUUAAGUGGACUCUUUAAUGAAAUAAAAAAUAGAUUUCUGAAUUUCUGCAUUUUCGUCGCGGACUUGGUCCGCGACGCGGAGCUGUUCCCUGAAGAUAUUUGGAAUAAAAUUUCGAGACAGUACAGUCUGCGACACGACCGCGUCGCGAACAAAGUUUUUUUUCCUUGGGGGAGCAAGUCCGCGACGCGCCCUUGUUCCUUGCAAGAGCAAUUUGCAAGCUGCCUUGGCAGCUUGCUUGGCCAAGGUUGGGGUCCCCCUUGGGUCCCCUUAUGGUGGUCCCGAGGGGUCUUCACCAAGUUUGUUCAGUGGUCGUAAGCUUAUUAAUCUGAACCAAAUUGGUACACGCCAAUUCAAGAAGGGAAUCUUGCAUCUCAGAGACUUCAGGCCUAUAAGCCUCACAGGGAGUGUACAAAAUUUUGGUCAAAGUCUGGUUGAGAGGCUUAAAACAGUGGUCUAAAAGCUGGUGUGAGGGGAACAAAAUGUCAUUGACCUUUCAUUGAUUGCAAAUGAGAUGUUUGAUGGUAGAUUGAAAACAUAAAGGCCUGGAAUUUUGUGUAAACUGGAUGUCAAGAAAUCUUUUGACAAAUUUAGCAGGUCCUAUUUAUUAGAAAUGCUAAAGCAAAUGGAAUUUGGAGACCGGUGGAUUAAAUGGAUCAAAUACAAUCUCUCAACAAUAAAGUACUCCAUUCUAGUGAAUAGGGGACCCUCUUGGCUUUUUCUCUCCAUGGAAAGGAACAAGGCAAAGGGGACCCUCUUUCCCCUUUUUAUUCAUUUUAGCCAUGGAGGGUUUGAGCAAGAUGCUGGACAAAGCCAGAACUAACCACUGAAUUGAACGUUUAAAGGUGGAAAGCAAUCCAAAUCACUCAAUCUCAGUUUCUCACUUACUAUAUGCAAAUGGCACCCUAAUAUUUUGUGGGGCUGAGACACUUCAAGUCCUAUAUCUCAAUCUGACACUCAUGCUAUGUAAAGCCAUUUCAGGGCUUCAUAUAAACAAGAUGAAGAGCAAGAUAUACAAUGUUAAUGAAGUUCCAAACUUGUUUGAUCUGGCAAAGAUUUUGGGGUGCGGCACGGUUCUUUCCCUUUCACUUACUUAGGUCUCCCCUUCAUUGCAAGUUACAAAGCAACUGAGGUAUGGAGUGGAGUGAUGGAAAAGGUGGAAAAGAAGGUUAGCAAACUGGCAAAUGCAGCAUUUGUCCAUGGAUGGUAGGUUGGCUUUAAUCAACGGUGUCUUGGACAGUAUACCCACUUACAUCAUGUCCCUCAUACCAAUGCCAUGUAAGGUGAGGGAUCAGCUGGAUGGUCUAAGGAGGACACUUCUUUGGAAAGGAAACAGUGAAGGGCACAUAAUUCAUUUGUGAUAUGGGCAAAGGUCUUAUUGCCAAAGGAACAAAGAGGGUUGACUGUCAGAGAUCUUAGCAAGCACAACAAUAGCCUACUUUUAAAGUGGUGGUUUCUGGAAAUGGAGAAUCAAACCUUUGGAAAGAAGUGGGCCGUGCUAAAUAUGACAAAUUAGAUAAUUGUUGCACCAAAAGAGUAGACCCCUCCAUGGAGUUAGUCCUUGGAAGCAUAUUAACAAUCUGAAGGAUGAUUUCUAUAAAAAGGUAUCCUUUAAGGUUGGAAAUGGCUCUGCUGCCAAGUUUUGGAAGGAUAAAUGGGUGAUCAAUCAGGCCCUCAAAGAUUCCCACCCUAGGCUGUUCCUAAAAGCCACUGAGCCAGACUCCUCAAUAGCUGAAAACAAGGAAGGCAGCAUCUUGGAUAUUCAGUUCAGAAGAAACUUACAAGGUGGGAGCUGGGGGAACUCAUUGGUUUGUAAGAACUACUGGCAGACUUCUCAAUGAAUCUUCAACUUCCAGGCAACUUAAGAUGGAGAGACUCGAGCAAAGGGACUUAUACAGUGAAAGCAGGUUAUAGUCACAUUAAUGCAGCUGAUGGAAUGACUGAUCUUAGGCCUUGGAAACUGGUUUGGAAGACAACUCCCCCCCAAAAGUUAAAUGCUUCACUUGGACAUCCCUUCAUAAUGCCAUUGUAACUCAUGAUAAUUUCAAGAAAAAAGGUUUUCAGGUGGUGAGCAGAUGCUUUAUGUGUCACCACAAUAUAAAGACAGUAAACCACCUGUUGUUGCACUGUCCUGUCGCAGCUGACCUUUGGCUUAUGUUUCUAUCAGUUUUUGCAAUCAGCUGAACAACCCCUCUCCAAUUUAAACGAAGCAGUUGAAAGGUGGAGUUUGUGGAAAGUGGAUAAAUCCAUCACGAAGAUCUGACAAAUGAUCCCAGCUUGUAUUUUAUUUUUUUUUAUAUUGUUUUGAUGGGACUUCAGACUUCAACUCUUACUGCUCUCUUAAAACCAUAUGUUUGAUGAAUAUUUUUAGUUGGAGCAAUCUUUCCCCUGUAAAUGGCACUAUUCCCCUUUCAGAUUUUAUCAGCUCCCGCUCAGUGGCUUAGCAGCCUUGAGUUUUUGCUUCUCGUUUAACUCCCAGUUCAUACUAGGUUCUUGCAGUACCUGAAGUUCUCACCAUUUGAUUAUGGAAUCUGUUUGCAUCUUCUUGAUGCCUUUUAAUACAAAACUUACUUCAUCAAAAAAAAAAAGGACAAUACACAGAGGGUCAAGCUCGUCUACAUAAAACUGACAUGACCGCCAGGUUUCCAUAAUGAAAUGUAUGUGGAUCGACUCUUGACAAGCGUAAUCGGAUAGCCUCCCAGUUCAGGGAAGUAUGACUCUAACAUCAGGUCAAACUAAUGGAUAGCACUCCUAAAAGUGAGGCAGGCUUAUAUUUACUGCAAAGCAGUGCCUGCAAACAUCUAUUUUCAGUCAUGCACAAUAUCAAAAACUGACCUCAUUCAAUCGCAGAUCGCGACCAUAACGCAACUGGAUGCCAGAGUUAAAAAUAUGCUCCAUACCAUCAGCCACAUAUCCCUCAACAGAAUCUACAUCCUCUAGCUUGUUAUCCUCUGACUGUAUUGUGUCAGAUAUUGAGGAAGGAAUUGUCACCGGAUGCAGGUUCAACAUGUAAGGAGCGGACAUACAUGUCAUAUUUACAUUCAUAUGGGGCUCAAGCUCCACAGAUUUUCUUGAAUAUGCUAAGUGUGAGAAAGCCAAAUCCUCCCGACCAAGAAGAACAUAUGCAGCAGCAGGCCAAUCUAUUGGAGGAGAAUCACGGCAUUUAUCCAAUGCCUGCAUAAGACAAAAUCACCCCUUCUAUAAUUAAAAACCAAGUCAAAUAAAAAAAAAGAUCUUGAAUGCAUGGAAACAUCUGAGUAUAACUAUGUGAUGUGAACUGCUGCAAUUAAAAGCAGAAGACUCUACAUCCAUUAAGGGUACAAAGAUAUCAUUAUGUAACACCCUUCCAGCCAUAUUUGUGUGUUAAGGUGAAUAGAUCAGAAUAUCCAAAUUUUGCACUUCUUUAUUUUGGAUAGGAAAUUGGAUGUAAAUUCUUUUAGCUCUUCACUUACAUCUCGCAGAGGAAGAGAGACUCCAGCAGGUAACAAGUCUAACUGUUGUAGGCCUACUCUUUCUCCAACCAUUGACAAGACAGUUAGUUCCUCCGGAGUAUUAAACGAUCCAGACGCAAUAGCACAAGAAACACCAGAAGAUAGCCUCUUCCCCGAUAGCUCAGCACCACAUAACAGGCUAUAGAAUGAUACAAUUUUCCGUCCCCAGUUGACAACAGAACUUCCAUCUCUGAAGAUCAAAGAUGGGAGAUGACUAAUACUAGCAGAACUGCACCCAUGCUUCAGGCAGGACUCAAGCCACCUGAAUAAACUAGGAGGAAUUCUCUUGGAGGUUGAGGUCAGAGAUACUUCAUGGCCUUUUGAGAGGCAAGGAAAGUCACGUAUGUAAUGAUCCAAGUAGCAAUCUUCGCGCAGGAAAGCUGCAAUAUCACAUAAUAGAACCACCAGAAGACCCAAAUCUCUGCAUUAAGUUAAGUAUAUUAAGUGGAUGAUAUGAGAUAAUGGAACCACAGUACGCAAAAGAAUUUUACUAACACAUCAAGAAAACUUUAAUCGGUCACAUCAGGAAAACUGCAGAGGUAAAUGUGUUAAUUCAGUAAAAAAUUGCUCAGCACAAAUAGUAGCAAGCACAGGGUUGAGUUAUUCACUUUUCAAGUAGAGCUAGUUCGGAGUAGUUCCUCAACAGAAACUGCUUUACUUCUUAACUUCUAAUAAGCAUUGAGCUCUACUACAAAGGUACCUUUCGUUUUCUUAUUAGUUGCUUGGCUUAUAGGUAUGUGUAGGUGCCUUGGUGGAUUGUCGAUAAGCAAGACUAUGUUAAACUGUUAACACUGAGUCCUAAACACAAUGCCGAUUCAUUGGCAAGAUAUGUUUUACCCACUAGAAACUCAAUGAUCCAGAGCAGAGGCAUUCAACCUCCCUACCCUGGCAAAGGGAGAUGGCUUAUAAAGUCAAUCAUAUGACAUUGAUAAAAGUUUUCAGUUGGAAACAACCUGAGUUCUGAUUCAAAUUUACCCCAACAACUAUCAACCAUAGAGUUGCAAAACCGAAAAGACCAAAAGAUAUAAACUCAUGCAUAACUUGCUCCUUUGUUUUUCUUUUUCUUUUUUUCUCAGGGACUCAUGGAGGGUUCUACUACUCAGCCAAAUACAUCAUAUUACGGCAAACAGCUCAUCUAUAGAGAGGUUCUUGCAAUUUUACGUUUUACGGAUACCUGGUUAUUGGAUAACAAACAAAUCAUUGGAAGUAAAUGAAAAAACAAAGGACUCCACAGAAAUGCCAAAGUGACGGCCAAACAACCUAUGUUAUGUGACACCAUCUUCUCUUUUUUUUCUUUUUUCCUAAUUAUUUGCAAGAGCAAUGCAGAUCACUUUCUAUGGCAUCUGGUCAAUCCGUAUCUCCAGACUAUGAUGAAAUUGUGAGGAAAAAAAAA